RNAcentral lists this ribosomal RNA (338 nucleotides) under Triticum aestivum (bread wheat). Its description in RNAcentral is "partial small subunit ribosomal RNA". Lineage: Eukaryota; Viridiplantae; Streptophyta; Magnoliopsida; Poales; Poaceae. The record is from RNAcentral.
AUGGCUCGCGUGGCACUGCUCGCCGUGUUCGCCGUGCUCGCCGCACUGGCGGUGGCGGAGAUGGCGUCCGGGGCGGUGACCUGCGGCGACGUGACGUCCGCCGUCGCGCCGUGCAUGUCCUACGCGACGGGGCAAGCGUCGGCGCCCUCGGCGGGGUGCUGCAGCGGGGUGAGGACCCUGAACGCCAAGGCGUCCACCUCGGCCGACCGGCAGGCGGCGUGCCGCUGCCUCAAGAAGCUGGCCGGGUCGGGCAUCAGCAUGGGUAACGCCGCCAACAUCCCCGGCAAGUGCGGUGUCUCCGUCUCUUUCCCCAUCAACACCAAAGUCGACUGCAACAC